This 497-nucleotide ribosomal RNA is filed under the name uncultured bacterium. Its description in RNAcentral is "partial 16S ribosomal RNA". It matches the Rfam family "Bacterial small subunit ribosomal RNA", at positions 28 to 507 of the family's 1533-position model. The record is from RNAcentral.
GACGAACGCUGGCGGCGUGCCUAAUACAUGCAAGUUGAGCGCUGAAGGUUGGUACUUGUACCAACUGGAUGAGCAGCGAACGGGUGAGUAACGCGUGGGGAAUCUGCCUUUGAGCGGGGGACAACAUUUGGAAACGAAUGCUAAUACCGCAUAAAAACUUUAAACACAAGUUUUAAGUUUGAAAGAUGCAAUUGCAUCACUCAAAGAUGAUCCCGCGUUGUAUUAGCUAGUUGGUGAGGUAAAGGCUCACCAAGGCGAUGAUACAUAGCCGACCUGAGAGGGGUGUCGGCCACAUCGGGACUGGGACAAGGGCCAAACUCCUACGGGAGGCAGCAGGAGGGAAUCUUCGGCAAUGGAGGAAAGUCUGGCCGAGCAACGCCGCGUGAGUGAAGAAGGGUUUCGGAUCGUAAAACUCUGUUGGUAGAGAAGAACGUUGGUGAGAGUGGAAAGCUCAUCAAGUGACGGUAACUACCCAGAAAGGGACGGCUAACUACGUG